CAGUCGCCACGGUAAUACAGAGGGUGCGAGCGUUAAUCGGAUUUACUGGGCGUAAAGCGUGCGUAGGCGGCUUCUUAAGUCGGAUGUGAAAUCCCUGAGCUUAACUUAGGAAUUGCAUUCGAUACUGGGAAGCUAGAGUAUGGGAGAGGAUGGUAGAAUUCCAGGUGUAGCGGUGAAAUGCGUAGAGAUCUGGAGGAAUACCGAUGGCGAAGGCAGCCAUCUGGCCUAAUACUGACGCUUAGGUACGAAAGCAUGGGGAGCAAACAGGAUUAGAUACCCGUGUAGUCCCUGUCUCUUAUAA
Molecule: ribosomal RNA, 301 nt
Filed under: uncultured bacterium
Lineage: Bacteria
Description: partial 16S ribosomal RNA
Rfam family: Bacterial small subunit ribosomal RNA
Source: RNAcentral